GUGGAGUACUCCAGUUGGACUUUGGAAGUUCACCUCUGAUGUAGGGGGGUUUAUUUAGAUUUGUUAUUUUUAUUAUUCUAGAUUUAGAUUUGUUAUUUUUAUUAUUCUAGAUUUGCUAUUUUUAUUAUUCUAGAUUUGUUAUUUUUAUUCUAGAUUUAGAUUUGUUAUUUUUAUUAUUCUAGAUUUGCUAUUUUUAUUAUUCUAGAUUUGUUAUUUUUUUAUUUCCCUUACUAUUUAAACCAAAUCAUUGUAGCCUUUAGAGGCAGUUAUUUUUCAUCCAAUAAAAUAUUCGAGUUAUAUCUCAAUUUUCGGUGGACUCCGAAAUCCUAUUUUGACAAGUUCGUGCUUGCGACUCGUCUUUGUUAAUCAGGUUUAGCGUUUGGCUAACCUAGCGCUUCCGUUCUGCGUCAGUUGGUAUCAGAGCAGGUUUCCCCUGUUCUUUCGUGAAGUGAUCAGAUGGGAGAUCAACCGGUGACGAAAACAGAGUUUGAUGGUGCCAUAGCGGCUUUAACCGCGGCCAUCACCACUCUGACAACACAGGUAACAACGUUAUCCAACAACAACAGAAUCAAUCUGAACAGGGGAGGAGGUCGUGGAAACAAUCAUACGAUUGAUGAUUCGGAUUCAGAAGAGGAGGAGGUCGUGACUGAAAAAAGAAACGAUCGUGACAAUCACCAUGAUUACCGCGUGAAAGCAGAUAUUCCAUUGUUUUACGGAACGAUGGGAGUAGAGGAAUUUUUAGAUUGGCAGAUUGAUGUUGACAGAUUUUUCGACGUCAUGGACGUCCCUGAGCACAAGCAGGUUAAGAUGGUGGCAAUCAGGCUGAAAAGUACCGCCGCUGUCUGGUGGGACAGACUCGUCGUUCAGAGGACGAGGCAGAGAAAGAAUCCCAUUCGAACUUGGCGGAAGAUGAAACAAUUGAUGCUUGAGAGAUUUUUACCUGAAGAUUAUGAACAAAUUCUGUAUAAAAUGUAUAUUGAAUGUGUUCAAGGCAAGCGAUCAGUGACAGAGUAUACCGCUGAAUUUCUGCGUUUUUCUGAACGUAAUGAAUUGGGUGAAUCAGAAAAUCAGAAAGUGGCUCGUUAUAUCAGUGGAUUGAAAGGAUCCUUGCAGGAGAAGAUGGGUUUGCAAACCGUUUGGACCGUUGCUGAAGCGUCCAACCUAGCUUUGAAGGCAGAAUUGAUGGAGAAAUCGCCCAGAAAUUUCUCCUCCUUCAGAAAGUCUUCUCCCCAGAAUAAUACUGAAUCAUCAGGUGACAAAGAGAAAAGUGCAGCAGCCAGGGAUUCUACUCCUGGUAAUAAGGCAACUGGUAGUUCUAGCAGUGCACCACAAGGCAAAGCCCCAGCCCAAAAACAAAACAAUCCAUAUGUCAAACCCACUAUGGAUACUUGUUUUAGAUGUAAUGGGAAAGGUCAUCGAUCCAUUGUUCAUUAUAUUCGCUUUCAGUCCUUGGCUAAGCUAAUUAGAUCGAUUUAUUAUAUUAAACUUUGAUCUCUUUUACUUGCUAUGCAGAGGUAGAAUUUGCUGAAGAAGAAUCUGAUGAAAGGGUGAAUUUUGUGUUGCAGCGGAUGUUACUAGCAACUAAAGAAGAAGGACAGCGCAAAAACUUAUUCAAGACUCAUUGUUCUGUCAAGAAUAAAGUAUGUGAUCUCAUAAUAGAUAAUGGGAGCACAGAGAACUUAGUGUCACAAAAAUUGGUGAAUUAUUUUAAGUUGCCCGCAGAGCCUCAUGAGAAGCCAUAUGCCCUUGGCUGGGUCAGCAAGGGAUCCCAGGUACGAGUGACGCUGUCCUGCAGAGUUCCCAUCUCCAUUGGUAAACACUAUAAAGAAGAGGUAUCUUGUGAUGUUAUUGAUAUGGAUGUUUGUCAUAUUUUACUUGGUAGGCCUUGGCAGUUUGAUAAUGAUAUUACUUACCGGGGACGGGAUAAUGUGAUGAUGUUUACUUGGGGCACUCAUAAAAUUGCUAUGGCUCCUAUCCUACAUUUUGAUAAGAAUCCGAAAGACAAGAAAUCUAGUUUCCUAGUGAUGACUCAGGAUGAGAGGAAACUUGAUAAGGCUGUCAGAGAAGCUAAUUGUUUUUGUCCAGUUGUUUUCAAAGGGGUGAUGAGCGCUGUGAAAGAAGAGGUCCCAAUUCCAAGAGAAAUCUUAGAAAUUCUAAGGGAUUUCAACGAGUUGAUCGCAGAUGAGCUGCCAAAUGACUUACCGCCCAUGAGGGAUAUUCAGCACCAGAUUGAUUUGAUUCCAGGUUCAAGCCUACCAAACCUUCCUCAUUAUCGCAUGAGUCCUAAGGAGAAUGAGAUUUUAAGGGAGCAAAUUGAGGAUUUACUAAGAAAGGGCUUUAUCCGUGAAAGCAUGAGUCCUUGUGCCGUUCCAGUCCUUUUGGUGCCUAAGAAAGGAAAUCAGUGGAGGAUGUGUGUUGAUAGCAGAGCCAUCAACAAGAUCACUAUCAAGUAUCGUUUUCCAAUUCCCCGUUUAGAAGACAUGCUUGAUGAAUUGGCAGGAUCCAAGGUGUUCUCAAAGAUAGAUCUGCGAAGUGGGUACCAUCAGAUAAGAAUUAGACCUGGAGAUGAAUGGAAGACAGCUUUUAAGAGUAAGGAUGGACUUUAUGAGUGGUUGGUGAUGCCUUUUGGGUUGUCUAACGCCCCUAGCACCUUCAUGAGAUUGAUGAAUCAGGUUCUGCGUCCUUUUAUUGGUUCCUUUGUGGUGGUUUAUUUUGAUGAUAUUCUGAUUUAUAGCAAGAUCAAGGAAGAACACCUGGAACAUGUGAGGCUAGUUUUACAAGUGUUACAAGAGAAUCAGCUGUACAUUAACCUGAAAAAGUGCACGUUCAGUACCAACAAAUUACUUUUCUUGGGGUUUGUAGUUGGUGAAGAUGGAAUUCAGGUGGAUGAAGAGAAAGUGAGGGCUAUCAGAGACUGGCCUGCACCUACAUCAGUUACUAAAGUACGUAGUUUUCAUGGGCUGGCUACUUUCUACAGAAGAUUUAUUAGAGAUUUCAGCACUAUCACUGCACCAAUCACUGAAUGUUUGAAGAAAGGAAAAUACAAUUGGGGUUUUGAGCAGGAGCAGAGUUUUGCCUUGAUUAAAGAAAAGUUGUGUACCGCACCUGUCUUAGCUCUUCCUGAUUUUGAUAAAGUGUUCCAAGUUGAGUGCGAUGCUAGCGGAAUUGGAAUAGGGGCUGUGUUGUCUCAGGAGAAGAAACCAAUUGCUUUCUUUAGUGAAAAGUUGAGUGAAGCUCGUCGAAAAUGGAGUACUUAUGAUCAAGAAUUUUAUGCUGUUUUUAGAGCUCUUCGCCAGUGGGAGCACUACUUGAUUCAUAGAGAAUUCAUUUUAUUCACUGAUCACCAGGCUCUGAAAUUUCUCCAUAGUCAGAAACUGAUCAACAAGAUGCAUGCUCGGUGGGUUAGUUUUCUGCAAAAGUUCCCUUUUAUCAUUCAACAUAAAUCUGGAGCCCUUAACAAAGUAGCUGAUGCUUUGAGUAGGAGGGAUUCGUUGCUUGUCACUUUAGCACAGGAGGUAGUAGGUUUUGAAUGUCUGAAGGAGUUGUAUGAGAAUGAUGUUGAGUUCCAAGAAUUAUGGGCUAAAUGUCGUGAGCAUCCUUGUGACGAUUUUCAUGUUCGUGAAGGGUUUCUUUUUAAGGGGAACCGACUGUGCAUUCCAUGUUCGUCCUUGAGGGAGAAAUUAAUUAGGGAUCUACAUGGUGGUGGUCUGAGUGGGCAUAUGGGGAGGGAUAAAACCAUUGCUAGUCUGGAAGAAAGGUUUUAUUGGCCACACCUGCGAAAAGAUGCUGGAACCAUAGUCAAGAAGUGCUAUACUUGCCAAGUUUCUAAAGGCCAGUCACAAAAUACUGGUCUUUACAUGCCUCUACCCAUUCCUGAUGACAUCUGGCAGGAUUUAGCUAUGGAUUUUGUGUUGGGUCUACCUCGUACCCAGCGAGGCGUGGAUUCCGUGUUUGUGGUUGUAGACCGAUUCUCCAAGAUGUCCCAUUUUAUUGCUUGUAAGAAGACAGCUGAUGCAUCCAACAUAGCCAAACUGUUUUUCAGGGAGGUUGUGCGUCUUCACGGAGUUCCAAAAUCCAUUACUUCAGACAGGGACACCAAAUUCCUCAGUCAUUUCUGGAUCACCUUAUGGAAGUUAUUUGAUACAUCACUGAAAAGGAGUUCUACAGCUCAUCCCCAAACUGAUGGACAAACUGAGGUCACAAACAGAACUCUGGGAAAUAUGAUUCGAUGUGUUUGUGGUGACAAACCGAAGCAGUGGGAUUUGGCUUUGCCUCAAGUUGAGUUUGCUUAUAACAGCACUAUGCAUUCUGCUACUGGAAAAACACCUUUCUCACUUGUUUACACCUCUGUUCCUAGGCACGUGGUUGAUUUGAUUAAGCUGCCUAAGGCUCCUGGAUUUAGUGUGGCUGCUGAAAAUAUGGCUGAAGAGAUUAUAGCUGUGAAAGAUUCUGUCAAGUCCAAAUUGGAAGCUACUGGAUUGAAAAACAAAAUUGCGGCAGAUAAAUGCCGAAGAGUCAAAGUGUUCAAUGUGGGAGAUGAAGUGAUGGUGUUUCUGCGAAAAGAAAGAUUUCCAGUUGGUACCUACAGCAAGCUGCAGCCUCGCAAAUAUGGCCCGUUCCAAGUGACUCGCAAGAUCAAUGACAAUGCUUAUGUCGUGGCCCUUCCAGCAUCAAUGAACAUUUCUAACACUUUCAAUGUGGCAGAUAUAUAUGAGUACCAUGCAGAUGAAGUCCUUUAUCGAGAUGAGAACUCGGGGUCGAGUUCUUUUGAGGUGGAGGAGACUGAUGUAGGGGGGUUUAUUUAGAUUUGUUAUUUUUAUUAUUCUAGAUUUAGAUUUGUUAUUUUUAUUAUUCUAGAUUUGCUAUUUUUAUUAUUCUAGAUUUGUUAUUUUUAUUCUAGAUUUAGAUUUGUUAUUUUUAUUAUUCUAGAUUUGCUAUUUUUAUUAUUCUAGAUUUGUUAUUUUUUUAUUUCCCUUACUAUUUAAACCAAAUCAUUGUAGCCUUUAGAGGCAGUUAUUUUUCAUCCAAUAAAAUAUUCGAGUUAUAUCUCAAUUUUCGGUGGACUCCGAAAUCCUAUUUUGACAAGUUCGUGCUUGCGACUCGUCUUUGUUAAUCAGGUUUAGCGUUUGGCUAACCUAGCGCUUCCGUUCUGCGUCAACCUCCCAGGUCUUCAUUACCACUCAAAGAUAGUAUUUGAAGAUUGGGUAAAGAGAGGAUGUCACUCGAUAGAUUCCCUUGCGAUUUGGUGUCUCCAAGACUAAGAGAGAUGAGAGAGGAAGACAGAUUGGUUAGCAAUGACAAAGAGCUUUCUCCGAUAGAAGACAUGUCCACGCCAUC
RNAcentral lists this long non-coding RNA (5337 nucleotides) under Glycine max (soybean). RNAcentral's name for it is "long non-coding RNA (GMAX_LNC003101)". Lineage: Eukaryota; Viridiplantae; Streptophyta; Magnoliopsida; Fabales; Fabaceae. The record is from RNAcentral.